CUGCUAGACAAAUUCUAAAAGAGCUGUAACACUCAUAGAUUUGUACAGUUAUUAACAGGGCAGUUGUCCAAUAGAGGGUGGUAGUAUCUUGAAGGAAAAGGGAUGCCUUUUGGAAAUUUGCUUUAAGCCUCUGUAUGUUGACUGGCUACAGGGCUGAGCCCCAUUCACUCAACAUCCCCCUGUCCUGAAGUCAUUGCUUCCCAACCUAUUCCCUGUCACGGUACCUAGAAAAUGAUGCCUUUUUUUUUUCUCUUUUCUUUUUCAGAUAGAGUCUUCCUCUGUCGCCUAGGCUGGAGUGCAGUGGCGCGAUCUCGGCGCACCGCAACCUCUGCCUCCCGGGUUCAAGCGAAUUCUCCUGCCUCAGCCUCCGGAGUAGCUGGGAUUACAGAUGUGCUCCACCAUGCCCGGCUAAUUUUUGUAUUUUUAGUAGAGAUGGGGGGGUUUCACCAUGUUGGCCAGGCUGGUCUCGAACUCCUGACCUUGUGAUCCACUAGCUUCGGCCUCCCGAAGUUCUGGGAUUACAGGCAUGAGCCACCACACCCGGAUGAAUUAUGCCAUUUUUAAGGCAAAGGUCUCCGUAACUAUUAAUUUCUCUGUCCUUCUAAUCUGUAUUCCCUGAGAAAUUAAUUGGGCUGGCAAGUCAAAGCCCUGAACCCCAGCUGCAGCUUUCUGAGCUUGUUCUGUCCAUCUGUGAAGUAAGGCAAUGAGAAGUGAGUCGGGGAACGGAACCCACGAUGCGUCAGAGGAGUGUUCCAGUUGCACACACACUCCCCAGCCACCUGGCAGCUCAGUCUAUAAUCUGGAGGCUUCCACAUCUACAGCUCCAUACAAAUGAACCUCUGGUUCUAAAGAAGUUUCUUCCUUGUCUGGUUCUCACUUUCUAAACCUCAGUCUCUGGAGAGAAAAGGAGUCCUGGAGGAUGAACAAGGCGAGCUUGGAGUAAUUUGGAAAAGCUAAUGUUGUAGGACAGAAGCAAAGCCUGCAAGUCACAGCCUAGGUUCCCUGAGUGAUGUUUUCAGCAGUAAACUGCAACUUCAAAGCUAAGAGCCAUCCUAAUAAUUUGCCAUAAAAGGUAGCUUGUUAAAAAUGAGUCAAAAAGGCCGGGUGCAGUGACUCACGCCUGUAAUCCCAGCGCUUUGGGAAGCUGAGGCGGGCGGAUCACAAGGUCAGGAGGUCGAGACCAUCCUGGUUAACACGGUGAAACCCCGUGUCUACUAAAAAUACAAAAAAUUAGCUGGGCGUGGUGGCGGGCAGCUGUAGUCCCAGCUACUUGGGAGGCUGAGGCAGGAGAAUGGCGUGAACCCGGGAGGCAGAGCUUGCAGUGAGCCGAGAUUGCGCCACUGCACUCCAGUCUGGGUGACAGAGCAAGACUA
Molecule: long non-coding RNA, 1373 nt
Filed under: Homo sapiens (human)
Lineage: Eukaryota; Metazoa; Chordata; Mammalia; Primates; Hominidae
Description: HSALNT0155737
Source: RNAcentral